AUUGAACGCUGGCGGCAGGCCUAACACAUGCAAGUCGAACGAGUGGCGGACGGGUGAGUAAUGCUUGGGAAACUGCCUGAUGGAGGGGGAUAACUACGGGAAACGGUAGCUAAUACCGCAUACCAUCAGAUGUGCCCAGUUGGGAUUAGCUAGGUGGUGGGGUAACGGCUCACCAAGGCGACGAUCCCUAGCUGGUCUGAGAGGAUGACCAGCCACACUGUGACUGAGACACGGUCCAGACUCCGACGGGAGGCAGCAGUGGGGAAUAUUGCGCAAUGGGCGCAAGCCUGAUGCAGCCAUGCCGCGUGAAUGAAGAAGGCCUCCGGGUUGUAAAGUACUUUCAGCGGGGAGGCGUUACCCGCAGAAGAAGCACCGGCUAACUCCGUGCCAGCAGCCGCGGUAAUAC
This 406-nucleotide ribosomal RNA is filed under the name uncultured bacterium. RNAcentral's name for it is "partial 16S ribosomal RNA". It matches the Rfam family "Bacterial small subunit ribosomal RNA", at positions 30 to 526 of the family's 1533-position model. The record is from RNAcentral.